UUGGUUUCCAGACGUAAACUGCGCGGCGAGGAAGGAGGCGACGUCUCACACUUGAUCGUUGCCUUGUCCACCUCCACUGGUGACUGAAAAAGUCACAAAUCUCAGCAAGUGGAAGGCGCAAAUGGAGGAAUUGGAAGACCAAAGAGGAGAUUUAUGGAUGUGGUAAGUUGUGACUCCAGCUGUCUGAGCCUCUCCUCCACGUUGCCAUGGCGCUCCUCAGCCUGAAAGGGGAGACACUUACUCAUGCAUCUGCAUGCAGUGCCGCCACUCGUUGCGCCAGCUCAGCCUCCACCUCUGGCAGCGUCUCAGCCUUCCUCAUGGUUUGAGCCAACCUCUGCUCUGCCAUCUCCAGCAUCUCUU
This is a long non-coding RNA of Syngnathoides biaculeatus (alligator pipefish), 360 nucleotides long. RefSeq lists it as uncharacterized. The record is from RefSeq and is a predicted model, not a curated record. NCBI's taxonomy places the organism in Eukaryota, Metazoa, Chordata, Actinopteri, Syngnathiformes, Syngnathidae. The transcript has 3 exons.